AGCGGCGUACGGGUGCGGAACACGUGUGCAACCUGCCUUUAUCAGGGGGAUAGCCUUUCGAAAGGAAGAUUAAUACCCCAUAAUAUAUUGAAUGGCAUCAUUUGAUAUUGAAAACUCCGGUGGAUAGAGAUGGGCACGCGCAAGAUUAGAUAGUUGGUGAGGUAACGGCUCACCAAGUCUGCGAUCUUUAGGGGGCCUGAGAGGGUGAUCCCCCACACUGGUACUGAGACACGGACCAGACUCCUACGGGAGGCAGCAGUGAGGAAUAUUGGACAAUGGGUGCGAGCCUGAUCCAGCCAUCCCGCGUGAAGGACGACGGCCCUAUGGGUUGUAAACUUCUUUUGUAUAGGGAUAAACCUACCCUCGUGAGGGUAGCUGAAGGUACUAUACGAAUAAGCACCGGCUAACUCCGUGCCAGCAGCCGCGGUAAUACGGAGGGUGCAAGCGUUAUCCGGAUUUAUUGGGUUUAAAGGGUCCGUAGGCUGAUUUGUAAGUCAGUGGUGAAAUCUCACAGCUUAACUGUGAAACUGCCAUUGAUACUGCAGGUCUUGAGUGUUGUUGAAGUAGCUGGAAUAAGUAGUGUAGCGGUGAAAUGCAUAGAUAUUACUUAGAACACCAAUUGCGAAGGCAGGUUACUAAGCAACAACUGACGCUGAUGGACGAAAGCGUGGGGAGCGAACAGGAUUAGAUACCCUGGUAGUCCACGCCGUAAACGAUGCUAACUCGUUUUUGGGCUUUUGGGUUCAGAGACUAAGCGAAAGUGAUAAGUUAGCCACCUGGGGAGUACGAACGCAAGUUUGAAACUCAAAGGAAUUGACGGGGGCCCGCACAAGCGGUGGAUUAUGUGGUUUAAUUCGAUGAUACGCGAGGAACCUUACCAAGGCUUAAAUGGGAAAUGACAGGCUUAGAAAUAGGCUUUUCUUCGGACAUUUUUCAAGGUGCUGCAUGGUUGUCGUCAGCUCGUGCCGUGAGGUGUUAGGUUAAGUCCUGCAACGAGCGCAACCCCUGUCACUAGUUGCCAUCAUUAAGUUGGGGACUCUAGUGAGACUGCCUACGCAAGUAGAGAGGAAGGUGGGGAUGACGUCAAAUCAUCACGGCCCUUACGCCUUGGGCCACACACGUAAUACAAUGGCCGGUACAGAGGGCAGCUACACAGCGAUGUGAUGCAAAUCUCGAAAGCCGGUCUCAGUUCGGAUUGGAGUCUGCAACUCGA
RNAcentral lists this ribosomal RNA (1213 nucleotides) under Chryseobacterium gleum. RNAcentral describes it as "bacterial SSU rRNA". It matches the Rfam family "Bacterial small subunit ribosomal RNA", at positions 94 to 1315 of the family's 1533-position model. Lineage: Bacteria; Pseudomonadati; Bacteroidota; Flavobacteriia; Flavobacteriales; Weeksellaceae. The record is from RNAcentral.